AUGGUUCUAGCAGUGCACGUUGAAAGAGAUGCCGAACAAACCGGUAGUUAUGGCCGCUGAGUAGGACAGUUAGACCUGCAGGUUCCUUUUUUUCUGGGCGAAGAAACAGUGCAAGCAAAAAGAGAAUGUGAAAGAAGUGUCGGAGGAACUUAAGAUGGUACUGUAUGAUGUUGAGAAUUUACCCGAUGAUUUCCAGGACGCUGUGAACCAUUGUGGGAAAGAAAGACACAGAGGAGGUGCUUCUUUAUUAUGAUCCAGGAAUCACAUGCAUCUGUCAGCUUUUUCCAUGCAACUGUCGUGUUUGCUGGCAAGUGCUUGAAAACUCAGAUAUUCUGUGGUUUCUCAGUGAGAUACACCAUUUCAGUGUGGACAUGAGCAGAAUUCAGGUGUUCAUUCAAUGACAUUUCAAAAUACCCAGGCAGGACAGAACUAAUCCCUAAGAAGCAUUUGACCUGUGAAGAAGUUUGGGUCCAAUGAACCACCAACUUCUCCAUUCUUUGCAGCUGACUCAGGAGGUCCUUGAGCUAAAGCUCCAGGCCUUCCUCAUGGGAUAGCGCAGGACUAAAAGAUGUACUGAGUGAUGGAUUCGGGGUUUACAUGAUUCUGAGACACCAGGACCGUACUGUCAUUGUCUAUCUAUGUGCUGUACAUGGAUGCAGAGAUAUACAAAUACUUAAGAUUGAGAACGACAGGGAAGAAGGAAGGAAGGAAGGAAGGAAGGAAGGAAGGAAGGAAGGAAGGAAGGAAGGAAGGAAAAAAAGAACAUGUUGACUAUGAUGAUGCCUCCCUGGGCCAGUUAUCAGGAGAUGGAGUUGGAUGAGAAGUUCUAUGAAGACAAUGUGGAUGCCUUUCUCUGAAAUUCUGUAACUGCAGCCCAUGCAACGUAUUAAAGAAUAGAAAUACCACUUUCACGAAGCAAAGAAAAAAAGAAAGUUUAUAUUCUACAUGUAUAUAUGUGUAUCAUAUCACUUUCUUCCCCAAAGAAUGAAAACUGAUUUCAUUCACACCAAUAUGUUAUUUUCAAUUUGAGUCUCAUCGACUUUCACUAGGAAAUGUUGUUAUUUGUUUUACAAAGUAAUGCAAAUAUAUAUAUGCCUAUUGGGAUUCUAGUUUGUACUCUGAUGAGAUUUGUUCCAAAGGCAAGUUAGUCAGAAACAUGUGGAUUAAGUAUUUGCUUCAAGUAUGCAAGAAUUUAAAGAAACAGAAGUUUUAGCAUUUGGCAAAAUUCUCGACAAAAGUUUCGAAAAGUUAUUUGGCUCAAGUUAUGACUGCCUCUGCCCAGCCCUCUAGGAGAGCAGCAUUUGAUGUGUCUGUAGAAGGGAGGAAAAACAAUAAAGGUCAAUGCCGCUGUAUCUGCAGCAGGCGUGUCAGUUGGAGUUCACUAUUCUGCCAGGAGGACACAUUAUAUAUGUAUGCGUUGACAAAAAAGAAGACGCGUUCAAACUUCAGUAGCAAAGAUAUAAACUUGCUUUGGUCCUAGAGGUGCUUACACACAGAACACAGUAUAUUCUUUCAAUCAUACAUUUUUGGAAUGGGAACAGUGAAGAUUUUCACGUCCAUGGAGAACCCAUUUGCACGCCUUGUGGGGCUGGCAAAUGUGCCAAGCCUGCUACUAUGAAACAAUUGACAGGAAGCGUGGGGGGGGGGGAAAGCAAUCAUUUUGAUGGCAAGUUAAAAUCUCUGAAGUCCCCAGAUUGCUUCCUCUUUAGGGGCAGUGUAAACAGUAGGAAAUCAUGGCCUUGAAUGGAAAGCAAGCCCGACAGAUGUUGCCCAACAAGGAAGACUGGCUGUGGGAAUAGGCACCACGGCUGGUUGCCUGUGUGUUGAGGUAUAGGGGGUUCUGGCUGCUUAUAGUCAUACCCCACUUGGUCCAUCCUAAAUGAUCCUUCUUCCGAAAAGGUCACAGUUUAAAGUCAUAUUAAGCCAAACCUUUAAACAUCCCAGCUAAUGAUUUACCACAUAACGAUUCAAGAAAGCACAGGUGUUCCCAGCCUACCCUAGCGAAACCUGCCCCACAGGUUUGCCAAGAUGUGGUCUGGAUAUAAGUGUGUUUACCCAGAAUCCUCGGUAGCGGAAGUAGAUUCAAGGGCUGAAGUGUAAAGGCCAGGGAUUAGCUGAGAAACACUGGUAACAAUCCAUUGUCUUCCAUUUGGAGGCUUAUACCUUUCAACCUCAUACUCUAAAGUUCACUAGCAUGUUUGAGUUUCACAAUUCCCCGGAUUCCUGGCUGGUUAGCUGUCUUAGUAUAGAGUGUUCAGAUGAUUCACUAGGAUGUUUGCUUGGCAACUGUGUUGCCACUCAAAAUAUUCUAUUCAUUUCUCACCUCUAAAGUUUGUGCAUUUACAGGAGAAUUGUGGUAUCAAUUUCAGUUAAGAAUUUAAUGGAGAGAUUCAUUCAUUUCCAACUUCAAGUGAAGUUUUCUCUUUCUUAUAUAUUUUACCUAAUCUUUACUCUUAGAAAAAUAUCUAUUUUCUACCGCUCUCUCUUCAACUUGACAUCUGCUUUGUGGUCGUAUCACAUGAUUAUUUUUGGCUGAGAACCAAGUGAGGAGUUUGUUCAGAACACUGUAUUCAGAAACCCAAAGCAUUUGUCACAGACUGGGACAGGGAACAAAGCCAUUCCUAGAUACAAGAGCUGUCUAUACCGGUAAUGACCAGCAAGGGAUCUCUUGUUGCCUCUUUGAUAUCUGAGGAGUUCAUCUGUUUUUUUAUUCUCUCUCUCUCUCUCUCUCUCUCUCUCUCUCUCUCUCUCUCUCUCUCUCUUUCUCUCUGCAUACUCAUGUGUCUGUGUGUGCCCACAAGUCCAUGUCUGAUCUCAUUUUAAGUUACUCUCCUACACUCUACUUUUGAAGACAAGAUAUGUUUCUACUCCUAGAGCUCAACCUUUAUGACUAGAAUAUGUGGUUAGUAAAUCCCAGUUAUCCCCUGUCUCCAUCAACCAGCACCAUGAUUAUGGGAACACACAAUGAUGCCAGGCUUGCUUUUUUUUUUAUUUUUAGUUAAAUUAAAUUUAGUGUGUUUGGGGUGGUGCACAUGCCAUGUUGAGGACAGAGGACAACUUUCAGGAAUUGUUCUCCUCUUACACUUCAGCAUCCAGGGGCCUAGCUUAGGUCAUCAGGCUUGUGUAUCAGCCACUUUUACCCAGUCAGUUGUCUUGCCAUGCUCAAGAUUGCCUUUAUAUUGCUUUUUGGGAUUCAACUUAGACCUUCAUGAUUACACAACAAUGACUGUACAAUUCCAUCAAAAAUCCUUUCUUCUCUCAUUGGAAAUGUUAUUUUUAAUGUUAUUUGUUGAUUAUGCAAAAUGUAGAGAUUGGAAAAUAUAAAUGAAAGGAACUCUAUGGAUCCCACAGCUGUACAGGCUUCCACCUGAGCAAGAGUUGAUUAAGGGCAGAGUUUGAGUGCUGAUAGGACAUAGCUUGAUGGAAUGAGAGAACAUCCUCUCUGGAACUGGAGCAAUGGCUCCCAAUAGGAUGGGGUUUCUAAAUUCCAGGAGCAUCUCCUGUCCAUUUUGAGCCUGAACUGUUCAGUAAAGGAUUCUUCCACAGACCUCGGAGUCCUGGUUGGUUUGGAUGAAGUAAUGUAUUGCAUCUGAUGGAUUUCAGUUCUGAGGUCUUGUGAAGGGUGCUUAAAUUAAAGCAUGAUACUACUGCUCUAAUUGCAAAUUCUGAUGUUACUUCUUUGAAACUCAGAAUCAUCUCUAGCUUGUUUCAAGGAUGGAUAUAAUAAAAGCAAGCCCACUUUGUAAAUCCAAAAUAUGCUAAAAGUGUUACAAAUAUAUUAGAAUAUCGAAAUAUUAAAAACAUAAAUAUACGAGAAAGAGCACACAGUGAGUUCAUUGAUGAUUCUGUUUUCCACAGAUGUAAUAAGUAAUAUAUUAAAAAACAGAAAUGAUCUACUGUAACAUUUUCUUAUUCGGGAUGAGUUAAAAAACAAAUUUCUAUUUUUAUACCUUUUAAUAAAACAAAUUAUAUUUUUCAGUAAAGUAUUAGAAGCCAGCAAGAUCAUUGAGUGGUUAAGAACUCUGCUGAUCUGGCAGAGGACGCAGGGUUGGUUCCGAGUACCCACACUGAGUAGCUCACAGCACCCCUCAUCCCCAGCUCCAGAUAUCUGAUGCUUCCGGUUUCUGCAGAACUCAUGUGCACGUCCCACCAGAAAAGGCAUAUACAUAGAAUUAAAAAAUUGAUUUUGGAAAGUUUGAUGUUUUCAGAAUGACCACGUGUACAUUAAAGAUAGUUACUAGUAGGACACAUGAAUCAGAAGUAUUUGAUAGACGCUGAGAGGUUUUAGCUAUAAUUUAAUUUAGUUGUUCCUUUGCCAUUUUGUUGACGUUAAACACCUUAAGAUUUUGUUGUUGUUGCUGCUGUUGUUGUUUAGAGAGAAUGACCGACUGUGUGUCUCAUGGGAAAGACAUGGUAUUCAUCCAAAUAAGGACACUAAAGGAAUAAAGAAUGUAUUUCUACUCCUGGGAAGAGCCUAAACCAUAUGCCUUAGGUUUACCCAAUCACAUCCUCACUGAAGAAAUUCAGCCUUAAAUGUUCCCACUAAAUUGAAGGCUCAUAAAUUCUUCUGUAGACUCAUCCGCACUGAAAGUGGCUUUGUGAACCCAGCCACCUCAGGGAGUGUUUACAGCAGAAUGGCCACCUCUGUAGCUCCUGAUGUGUGAGAUAGACUUCCAGAGCCAGGCCUUGGUGAGUUUCCCUUUUAUCUUUCCUUUUUAUUGGCCUGUUUAUUCAAACUUUCAGGUCUCCUUCAAUCCUGAGAAUGACUUGAUGUCAACCCAACUUAUCUCUUGUUUUCUUAAGUUCUUGGAUCUGCUCUGUUGCUUGCAACAAACCUGAUCACACCUACACUCCUUUAUGCACACAACAUCUGCUGGUGUUUUUAUCUACAUAACCACUUAUCUUGUAUGAGCUUCAUGAUCUACUCUAUGUUUAUUUUAAAUCACUAUCGUUGCAAUUUACCAAUGAAAGCUUACAAAACAAAUUAUGACAUUCACUGAAUCUCAGUACGUCUGAAGGAUCACAGAACGUAAAGGAGCUACUUAUAAAUUAUGCUUUAAUUUAGGUAAAUAUAUCUAUAAAUAAUAUUAUGACCUUUAGCAAAAAUAUGUAGCUUUGAUUGGAAAUAAAUUGAGUAAGAAAGAGUCAGCCGGUAAAGAAAAUUACUGCCAAGUUGAUCAGUUCAGUUCUGUCUCCAAGACCCACAGGAUAGAAGGAGAGAACCAAUUCUUGAAAGUUGUUUUCUGGUCUAUAUUAACAUAUAAACACAUGUGUACACAGAGGGCAUGCAUGGGCAAGUGUAAGCAUGGAUGUGCAUACUAAGUAAAUAAAUAAAUCAAUAAAUCAAUAAAAAGAAAGAAUAAGUAAAUACAAUAAAUUAUUUUUAAACAGAAGCUAAAAGUAGCUGAACAGAGUCUACAAGGAUACUUGCUGUAGAAUUUCUAAAUAUUUUAGACUUGAAUAGUUUUAAAAAGUGGAUCAUAUUGAGCAGAUAUUACGACUUUGUGUGUGGAGGUAUGUGUGGGCUUGUGUGUGAAGGUAGGUGCAUAUUUUUGUGUAUGGGGCUGUGCAAGUACAUAUAAAGUUUGGGAACGAUAAUGCAGAAGUCAGAGUUCAGCCUUUUGUGUGGUUCCACUGGAACAGUUUAUCAUCAUUUCUGAAGCUAAGUCUCUUCUUGGGACUUGAAACUCCUUGGUUGUGCUACCUGUUUAUUAAGUCCUAAGAAUCUGUCUACUCCAAUGCUACCAGCACUAGGACUACAACUGCCUUCAAGCUUAGCUUGCUAUGUAAGUGCUGGGGAAAAAACUCAAGCUUUCAAGUAACAAAGUACUUACUAACCUAAUUGUUUGUUAGUGUUGAAAAGUACUAAUAGUUUUAGAUAUUUUUAAUGAUUUUAUGUUUUGGCUCACAUUUCAAUUUUCAAAUUAGGAAAUACAUAAAAAUAAUUGAAUAUUUGGCUAUUGGAGAACAACUUAUUAAUAAAAUAAUAUUAACCAACAAUAUUUUAAUAAGAAGGUUCAUAGCUGAGACACUUUACAUUUCUCCUUUUAUUCAAAAGCUGCUUGCCUUCACUCAAUCAUCUUAUGCCUCUGAAAAUUAUAUGGUUGCUUAUGUGACAAAAACCAUGAAUUGUAACAAUAACAUUUCCUGUUAUUUAAAGAUUAAGUGAAUUAAUAUUAUUGAGUCUAUAUUCUAGGUUGUUUAUUAUUGUACUAAUUGUGCCUUCCAUAUGUUGUAAAAAUUUUCAAAUGUUAAAGUCUUGUGAAUUUAUAAUGAGGAUAUUGCUAUCUGUAUCCUUAUAAAAUAGAAUAGGAAUAUUUUACUUCACUGUCUUUUUCUUAAUACAUUAUUGAUGAUUUUCUUUUGAGAUUAAACAUAAUUCUGUUUCCAGUACUUUGGAUUAAUUUUUCAUUAGCAAGAACUGACACCUGACGUUUAUGUUACAAAUAGGUAACAGAAUUCACAGGCCACUGAUUCCACUUUGAUGUCAAAUUUAUCAACAGAAAAAAAUCCUCUUUGGCUGAAUCUAGGAAAAGAAAAUGUUCAUAAGGGUGGUGAGUUUCCUAAGAAAAGACAGACGAAGCGGGGAAUUUAUUUCAGUUCCAAUUCUGAUCAUGUUUCUUUGUUUACUUGGGAGAUUUUCUUUGUGAUCCUGAAAGGGCUGUGGUUAUUCACUUUAAAGGGUAAGUAGACUUAAUGAAUCUCAUGUUUCUCCUCAGUCCAUGUGUUCCUGUGAUGAGACACACAAGCAGGUGUUUUCCAAACUGAAAAUUGCUCUGUUUUCCAAGAUAUAUUAAGAUUGAUGGUGGAUAAUACAUUUAAUUCAACUGCACACAAAUGGUUCAUUGGAAAGAGCUGAUAAGUGAGGGCAUGGCAAGGACAUCCUCUGGGAAGUGAUUGGAGAGGAGGAGCCCAGUUCUGUAAAGUCCAACAUAAGCUUCCUCCUUCCAUCUCCCCAAUUGUACUAAAGGUGUGAAGUUUUCAUAAUAAACACCAUAGUAAAAACCACAUUCCACAGCCCCGUUUUGCAUAAGGAGCUUUGGCGUUAUGCAGAUUUGGAAUUUGAUCUAAAAGUAAAGACAAGAAUGCGGGCUAGCUAUAAUUAAAACACAGCCACUCAUAAAUACAACAACCAUGCUUGUGAAAAUAUUAAAUGUUAUAACCUCCAUACUUCUGGGCUUAGCAAAUUUAGCACAAUUGGAUCUUGAUUAUUAACUGCAGGAAUUAUGACAUCCGAGGAAAGGUUUCCCUUAGCUCAGAAGCUCUCCACCCGGCUGCAAUGAGUCAGGAUUCCUGGGUGGACCAUUGGCAAAUGCAGCCAAAGACAUCUGUUAAAAGUAAAUAAAAGUUCUCCGGUUUUAGUAGGUUGUUAUGUAUUCGCUUAAGCACUGAAAGAAAAAAUAAGAAAAGCAAAGUAUAUUAAAAGUAAAAUAAGAAAUCAAAACUACAGCAGCUUAUCUUUUUAGAUAGGAAUUCCCAGACUGGCAUUUCCAUUCACAGUUCAUGCAUAAGGAAAUUUAGUAUUUAAUCAAAGUGAUACACAUACAUACUUCUAAAUGUCAUAUUGCUCUUUAGAACUUAAGGUGAAAGAAUUCAGUCUGUUGAUGCCCACAAUAUUAUUACACUGUUCAACUCCAUAAAUAUCAUUUCUCAAGGCCAAGUGUUUUCAACUCUUUUAUAUAUUACUCUUCCACCUUUCCUUCUGCACAUGUAAAGAGUUUACUAUGUCAGAUAUGUGAGAGGUACCAUGUUACUGACAGGACACACAUGAUAGACCCAGCCUCAAACAUUGUCCACAUUCUACUCCUUGUUUCUGUGUUUUCAUUAUUUUAUCAUUCAUCCAUGAAAUUGCACAUCAAUUCAUUGCAAGAUUUUAGAUCACUUUAGAAAAAAAUCAAAUGGGAUAAGGGUGGCGAUCGAGUUUAUCAGCACCUCUACCCUCUAUCGUGAUAUUUUGAAUCUCAUUCUGAAUACUAGCCAGAGGGUCACUGAGUAUUAACAAUAGAAGUAACCAUUGGGGUAACAGUCUUAAUGCCAGCAAGCCUACUACUGCUAUUCUUUUCCGUGGCUUGACACAUUGCCUUUCCUAGAAACUUUAUACUCGAAAUUAGGAGGACACAGUGCUGCUUGCAGACAGAACACAAAUCAGAACUCUGUAAGUGGAACCUUGACAUCAACAUGUCAGGUUGGGAUUCUGAACCUGUAUCAGUCAUAUGUUGAGUGACCAUCACAUGCUUACAUUCAAUACCCCAAACAGCUUUAUUUGAAAAGGUCCCUUGCAAUGAGUCAAUGGUCUGGUUCCAGCCUCUGGCUUCUGCUUCACUAUCAAUCCCAGAUCCUCACCGGGACUCCUCUCAGAGAUCCGGCCCUUUCAUGUGCUCCAGCAGUUCCCAGAUGGAACCGAGGGUGGAGUGGGCCAAGUCAAAGCUCUGUAAAGCUUUUGGGACAGAAGUGUACACUGUAUGACACUCACAUAGCACAGCGUCCAUGCUGACAGCUUUGUUUGUUUUGUUGGUUUUGUUUUCUUUAAGGGGAGGUUACAAGGACACAGGGUGAAUCUCGAGGAACAGAAACAUGAGUGGGUUUGGGGUACAUGGAGUGAAGUUUACAAAGAAUCAGUUUAAAAAGUUGAUAGUCUGACAAAUACAGAUGCAG
Molecule: small RNA, 8655 nt
Filed under: Rattus norvegicus (Norway rat)
Lineage: Eukaryota; Metazoa; Chordata; Mammalia; Rodentia; Muridae
Description: uncharacterized LOC102551002
Source: RNAcentral